RNAcentral lists this ribosomal RNA (548 nucleotides) under uncultured bacterium. RNAcentral's name for it is "bacterial SSU rRNA". It matches the Rfam family "Bacterial small subunit ribosomal RNA", at positions 36 to 616 of the family's 1533-position model. The record is from RNAcentral.
CUGGCGGCGUGCCUAACACAUGCAAGUCGAACGAGAAAGUGGAGCAAUCCAUGAGUAAAGUGGCGACCGGGUGAGUAACACGUGACUAACCUACCUCCGAGUGGGGAAUAACUCCGGGAAACCGGGGCUAAUACCGCAUAACAUCGCAAGAUCAAAGCAGCAAUGCGCUUGGAGAGGGGGUCGCGGCUGAUUAGCUAGUUGGCGGGGUAACGGCCCACCAAGGCGAAGAUCGGUAUCCGGCCUGAGAGGGCGCACGGGCACACUGGAACUGAAACACGGUCCAGACUCCUACGGGAGGCAGCAGUGGGGAAUUUUGCGCAAUGGGGGAAACCCUGACGCAGCAACGCCGCGUGGAGGAUGAAGCCCUUUGGGGCGUAAACUCCUUUCGACUCGGACGAUAAUGACGGUACGAGUGGAAGAAGCACCGGCUAACUCUGUGCCAGCAGCCGCGGUAAUACAGAGGGUGCGAGCGUUGUUCGGAAUUAUUGGGCGUAAAGGGCGCGUANGCGGUGCGGCAAGUCACCUGUGAAAUCUCCCGGCUUAACUGG